This is a long non-coding RNA of Vidua chalybeata, 1569 nucleotides long. RefSeq lists it as uncharacterized. The transcript is spliced from 2 exons. NCBI's taxonomy places the organism in Eukaryota, Metazoa, Chordata, Aves, Passeriformes, Viduidae. The record is from RefSeq and is a predicted model, not a curated record.
UGCACCCAAGGCUUUUGAUUCAUCUUGAUAUUUAGUGAAAGUUUAUUUUCCUAAAUUGGCUGAGGCAAAGAAGUGACUGUUAGUCCUUCAUACUGCAUGACUUAGUAAAUGCUUGUCUGAGGCCUGUCUUUUGUGGACUAAUAAGAGCCAAUAUCUUCAUGCUUUCUUAAAAAAGGGUAUUUUUUGCUUAACUGUAGAAGAUGGACUGAUUUUGAUAUAUCCUGCAGGAUUUCAGAUAAGGUUUUGAAGGAGUAGGGUUUGGGAUUCUACUUGAGGUUGCAGCCCCCCUGCCCAAAGGGGUACAUUACUGGCCUCCAGAAUGCGUGUGGUUAGCACUAAACAUGGGAAUGGAAAUUAAAGACUUCAGAGUUAGGGUUUCAGGACAGACCCUGACUUUUCCUCUGUUCAUUGUAUUUAAUGUCACUUGCAUGUUUUCCCUUUGAAACAGGGAUAGCACAGAAUGGUUUACUCAGUAGUGAUGCAUGUUUUAUGGCUUUUGAUUUUUUUUUUUUUUCUUAACAGAAAUAUAGUGUUUGGGUGAUUUUGUGUGGAAGGGUUGGUGUUUGCAGGCCUAAAAUAUGUUUCACCAUGAAGUAGAAAGCUAAUGAAGUGCUUUGAAGAAAUUAUGGUCACAAAAGCUCGAGUGUCUGGACAACAGCAGCACCAACUACCACAUUUGUACAGUUCCUGGUUUGAUGGAGUCAUGGGCCUGACUGCAGCUCCUGUAGGAGAAUUGGUUAUAUCUGACCUCCCCUGUUUCACAUGACAGUGCAUAUUUCACUGUUUCAGCCCCUUGGAGUCUGGGGUAGUGGCACAGCUACUCUGCUGCUUCUUUUUAAAAAGGGGUGUGUGUGCUUCUGAUGUGUGAGCCUGAGAGCUCGCUUGAAGGUAAUUUUGGUUUAGGACAGCUCGCUCAGCAGGAUCCCAUUGUAGUGUGCUGGUGUGGUUUGCAGUAGCACAAGUGUUGGGGCAUCAGGGCUUGUCAGCAGCAAAUCUGCUACUGCACGAGCACUUUUGUGGGCUUCAGCUAUUUGGAGAGAAUUGUUUGCUUUGCCUGCUCUGCCAAGAGAAGAGAUGUUCCUGUCUUAUUUAAUGCAUUAAGUACUUCAUGAAGGAUGAGAACUAAUCCCACAUACAGAAAAAAAAAAUAAUAGGCCACAAAAUAACCUGUAAAAAAAUAGGCAUACGUCCCAAUAUUUUCUGUUUAAUAACACUUCUGGUUAAGAAUUGCCUCUACCUGUCUGAUUUUGUUCCUUGUUCAUUUUGAAAAACCUGGCUAUGCCAGCUACAAGCCAGUGUUCCUCAGGUGUCUGUGUUCCUGAAACUGGUGCAAGCAUUGUCCCUGAAACCUGCUCCCUUUCCUGAAGACUGCAAAGGUCUCUCAUCCAAGGCUGUGAAGGAAUUCUGAACAUCUAUUUGUCAGCCUUGAAGAUCUCUUGGAGAUUAUAUGUUUGGGAUGUGAAGCCUUAGUAAGACUUGUAAUUUUUGUUAGACUGUUGCCUGGAAAGUAGAACAGAUCUUCCCUAACAACAUUAGAGUGAUAACAUAAAAACAAACCUUUACUUGAAA